Molecule: non-coding RNA, 106 nt
Organism: Capsicum annuum
Lineage: Eukaryota; Viridiplantae; Streptophyta; Magnoliopsida; Solanales; Solanaceae
Source: Rfam
ACUUCAUGUUUCGGGCAUUGCAUGAGCUUUUCAUUGAACCUUUGUCACACCUCAUAUAAGGGCUCACCACUAAGUUGACAGAAAUUUGUGAUCUCAUCCCUUAGUU